GAGAGAGUAAAGUUCAACUCCCUGUCCCUGUUGCCAUGUCUGACUGAGACUUCCAAAUCCCUAAUCUGCUCGCCUAAUCCCCUCAGUCUCCGACUCUCCGUCUCCGUCUCUGUUUCAAGCUCCCUGAGGUAUUCUACGUGGCAACCAUGUGGCUCCAAUUCAGCAAUAAUCAACUUGUUAGUAACGGAAGGACACGAACAGAAAAACUAUUGAUUGAUGUGGCAUGAUAAAAAUAAAAAAGUGUUCAAACGUACUGAACAAAAACUAUGGUUUUCUCUUUUCUAAUUGAAGAACUUUAUCUGGAUGCUGUUAA
Molecule: non-coding RNA, 313 nt
Organism: Punica granatum (pomegranate)
Lineage: Eukaryota; Viridiplantae; Streptophyta; Magnoliopsida; Myrtales; Lythraceae
Source: RefSeq, a predicted model, not a curated record